ACAGAAAUCUCGUGUGGAACAAAA
This 24-nucleotide non-coding RNA is filed under the name Arabidopsis thaliana (thale cress). Lineage: Eukaryota; Viridiplantae; Streptophyta; Magnoliopsida; Brassicales; Brassicaceae. RNAcentral also lists the same sequence under 1 other name. The record is from RNAcentral.